Molecule: long non-coding RNA, 294 nt
Organism: Ahaetulla prasina
Lineage: Eukaryota; Metazoa; Chordata; Lepidosauria; Squamata; Colubridae
Exons: 3
Source: RefSeq, a predicted model, not a curated record
CUUCCACCAGGAGCUGUGAGUACAGGAGAAUUCCCAGACUGUCUUCCAGCAAAUUUGGGUGAGGUAUAAUCCCAUUUAGAGGAACUGAAGCAUCCAUUGAACCAGAUUUCUGAAUCAAUGACCUGUUCACAGGGAACAAACAGAGACUUCCUCAAUUUGAGGAGAGAUAUCUACAGAGACUUGAAAUCCUGGGUUUAGAAAACUUAGAACUACGCCGUCUUCGACAUGACUUGAGUUUAACUCAUAGAAUCAUCUAUUACAAUGUCCUUCCUGUCAAAGACUACUUCAGCUUCA